Non-coding RNA from Myotis brandtii (Brandt's bat), 79 nucleotides. The record is from Rfam. Lineage: Eukaryota; Metazoa; Chordata; Mammalia; Chiroptera; Vespertilionidae.
GAGACACACCUAUGGAGCAGCAGGACUUGUUUCAGUGGGGCUUUGGUGCUCACUGAGUCUGCCCCUUCAGUGUGUCGCU